Molecule: ribosomal RNA, 471 nt
Filed under: uncultured bacterium
Lineage: Bacteria
Description: SSU rRNA
Rfam family: Bacterial small subunit ribosomal RNA
Source: RNAcentral
AGGACGAACGCUGGCGGCGUGCUUAACACAUGCAAGUCGAGCGGAAAGGCCCUUCGGGGUACUCGAGCGGCGAACGGGUGAGUAACACGUGAGUAAUCUGCCCCUAGCUCUGGGAUAGCUCCGGGAAACCGGGAUUAAUACCAGAUACGACCACUUUAGACAUCUUCUGUGGUGGAAAGAACUUCGGCUAGGGAUGAACUCGCGGCCUAUCAGCUUGUUGGUGAGGUAACGGCUCACCAAGGCGACGACGGGUAGCCGGCCUGAGAGGGCGACCGGCCACACUGGGACUGAGACACGGCCCAGACUCCUACGGGAGGCAGCAGUGGGGAAUAUUGCGCAAUGGGCGAAAGCCUGACGCAGCGACGCCGCGUGGGGGAUGAAGGCCUUCGGGUUGUAAACCCCUUUCAGCAGGACGAAGCGAAAGUGACGGUACUGCAGAAGAAGCGCGGCUAACUACGUGCCAGCAGCCGC